RNAcentral lists this ribosomal RNA (610 nucleotides) under Listeria monocytogenes. Its description in RNAcentral is "partial 23S ribosomal RNA". It matches the Rfam family "Bacterial large subunit ribosomal RNA", at positions 1257 to 1861 of the family's 2925-position model. Lineage: Bacteria; Bacillati; Bacillota; Bacilli; Caryophanales; Listeriaceae. The record is from RNAcentral.
CAGACCGGAAGGACUGGUGGAGCGCUUAGAAGUGAGAAUGCCGGUAUGAGUAGCGAAAGACGGGUGAGAAUCCCGUCCACCGAAUGCCUAAGGUUUCCUGAGGAAGGCUCGUCCGCUCAGGGUUAGUCGGGACCUAAGCCGAGGCCGAAAGGCGUAGGCGAUGGACAACAGGUUGAUAUUCCUGUACCACCUCCUCACCAUUUGAGCAAUGGGGGGACGCAGGAGGAUAGGGUAAGCGCGGUAUUGGAUAUCCGCGUCCAAGCAGUUAGGCUGGGAAAUAGGCAAAUCCGUUUCCCGUGAAGGCUGAGCUGUGAUGGCGAGCGAAAUUUAGUAGCGAAGUUCCUGAUUCCACACUGCCAAGAAAAGCCUCUAGCGAGGUGAGAGGUGCCCGUACCGCAAACCGACACAGGUAGGCGAGGAGAGAAUCCUAAGGUGAUCGAGAGAACUCUCGUUAAGGAACUCGGCAAAAUGACCCCGUAACUUCGGGAGAAGGGGUGCUUCUUAGGGUGUUAAAGCCCCGAGAAGCCGCAGUGAAUAGGCCCAGGCGACUGUUUAGCAAAAACACAGGUCUCUGCGAAGCCGUAAGGCGAAGUAUAGGGGCUGACGCCUG